AAUUUGAUUUUACAUAUAGAUUUCAUAUCAGUAUGUCACUGGUAGAAAAACCUCUUGGUUAACACCACCAGUAUGUAGAAUUUGAGGUCUAGACAGACUCAGUUCCAGCUGAUUUUGUUGUGUUCUACUCUAACACUGGGGCUCCACACACCUAUUGUGGCUCUGUGGAAUCUCACUAUACCCCCCCUCAGUUAGUGAGGGAAACAUCAAUGGUCAUUAACUGUCUCCAGCAGGGCACUAGUCUCAGAUGUACCCCUGUUGUGAAUUCUGUGCAGUGUGGGUAGAAUUAUCAGUAGAGUUGGAAAUGCAUAGCGUAGACAUCCAAGGUCAGAAUGCACUGGCCAACAGUGUUUAUAUCAUCCAACUGGACACAAAUGAACACUCUGGGUGUUAAUCCAACACUAGGGAUUUUACUGUGUAGCUGGCAGUGGCACUAUUAGACAUAAUUCUGUCUUAACCAUGUUAAGAUGGAGGAAGUUACUGAGCAUUCAGUGUCUAAUGUACAGUACUUUCCACAUUCCUCAGCUUGUGAAGCUGGUGUCUGUCAUAUAGCUUUGCUGAAACUUACACACAAUUUUGAAUACUGUCAGUUUAAAUGGAUGCCAUUUAUGUUCUGACAUUCCAGUGGUCUGUUUUAAAUAGCAAGCAUGAUCUUGUGCCAAAUCUUUCAAGGAUCUGGGACAUCACUUCUGGGUGCAGAUUCCACUUUUCCGGGUGUGUCUGCUGCUGCGUUGUGCUAUCCCAUGUCAUGCCGCUGUGGUGAUGGAUUUAAUCACUGUGUGCUUUGCAGGUCUUGUGUAGUCAAUUUGGUUAGUUGUUGCAUGAGCUGAUGUAACAAUUAUACAAGCUGUGGUGAUAAUCACUAAGACCCUGGGAUCUGAUAGGUUGAUAGACAGAGGCGUAAUACUGUACAUCACGUUGAAUUAAGCAAACAAACACAAUGAACUCAUGUACAUGCAUUCGCCCAUAACAAGCUCCUAUUAUAUGUGGAAGAAGCAAGUUAGCAUUUUCCUUUGCUGGCAAAAGACCAAAUUGGGAGAAAACGGGGUUUAAAAAUGAUGGUUGAAUUGCUGAAAGUUUAGUACCUUCUCAUCCAUCCAUCUUCUACCGCUUACUCCUUUUCAGGGUCACGGGGAACUUGGAGCCUAUCCCAGGGAGCAUCGGGCACAAGGCGGGGUACACCCUGCCGGUGCCAGUCCAUCGCAGGGCACACAAUCACACACACUCUCACACCCAUUCAUACACCACGGACACUUGAGACACGCCAAUCAGCCUACCAUGCAUGUCUUUUGGACUGGGGGAGGAAACCGGAGUAACUGGAGGAAACCCCCGCAGCACGGGGAGAACAUGCAAACUCCACACACACAUGGCCCCGGCAGAACUCGGACCCCGGACCCUGGAGGUGUGAGGCAAACGUGCUAACCACUAAGCCACCGUGCGCCCUAAAAUGCAAACUAUAUUUGUUUCAAGUUUUUAAUAAAACCACUUGGG
Molecule: long non-coding RNA, 1491 nt
Organism: Ictalurus punctatus (channel catfish)
Lineage: Eukaryota; Metazoa; Chordata; Actinopteri; Siluriformes; Ictaluridae
Source: Ensembl